RNAcentral lists this non-coding RNA (283 nucleotides) under Paenibacillus bovis. Its description in RNAcentral is "T-box sequence". It matches the Rfam family "T-box leader". From Rfam's summary of the family: Uncharged tRNA acts as the effector for transcription antitermination of genes in the T-box leader family. T-boxes are found upstream of many aminoacyl-tRNA synthetase genes and some amino acid biosynthetic genes usually in Gram-positive bacteria. The record is from RNAcentral. Lineage: Bacteria; Bacillati; Bacillota; Bacilli; Caryophanales; Paenibacillaceae.
UUAAAUGCGAUGAUGAGAAGAGUAGAAUAAAUCACUUUUUGUACAGAGAGCUCCAGCCGCUGAAAAGGAGUCAAAAAGUCUUAUUUGAAACAAGCCUCUGAGCAGCGGAUCGGACCGGAUCAACCGGGUAUGGUACGACAGGCGCUCCUGUUACAGAGCUAGGGUAUAACCGUCAACCGUCUGCUGAUCAAAGCAGAUUGGCAUAGCGGCGUACCUGAUAAGGCGGAUAUAGUGAUAUAUUCGCAAACUGGGGUGGCACCGCGAUCAGAAUCUCGUCCCCAAG